RNAcentral lists this transfer RNA (67 nucleotides) under Pseudo-nitzschia pungens. Lineage: Eukaryota; Bacillariophyta; Bacillariophyceae; Bacillariales; Bacillariaceae. The record is from RNAcentral.
GGUAACAGGGUAUCUCGUGAACAAUCGAGAUACGACGGGGCAUUGCCUACCCGAUACUAUGAAAGCG